Molecule: ribosomal RNA, 229 nt
Filed under: uncultured bacterium
Lineage: Bacteria
Description: partial 16S ribosomal RNA
Rfam family: Bacterial small subunit ribosomal RNA
Source: RNAcentral
CGUGUAGGCGGUAUUGUAAGUCAGAUGUAAAAGGCUACGGCUUAACCGUAGAUGGUCAUUUGAAACUGCAGUACUUGAGUGCGAGAGAGGGUAGUGGAAUUCCCAGUGUAGCGGUGAAAUGCGUAGAUAUUGGGAAGAACACCAGUAGCGAAGGCGGCUACCUGGCUCGUAACUGACGCUAAUGCGCGAAAGCGUGGGGAGCGAACAGGAUUAGAUACCCUGGUAGUCC